GAGAUGCCUUAUGGAAAAGGAUUCCUGUCUCAUGACCAGCUGUGGUGAUAAAACCCUCCUGGGGCACUCAGGACAGACCGGGAUGCUUUCAGCAAGAAGCAAUGCUCAUCUGUUGUGCCCACUUGUGAGUGAUGAAGGCCACACCAGGGCCAUGCCAGCCAGUUAUACUCUGCGAUGCCGCCGCUGAUUGCACUGCAGAUAUUCUGACUGCUGUCAGUGGAGUGAGAGAUGGACUGCACCUGAAUAUUUCUAAGGAGAGUUAAAUGUGAUCUCGAAUUCUUAUGGCUGCUGCACUGAUGAUGAUCUGAGAUAAUCGGUGGCUGAGAGCAGCGAGGAGGGACGCUUGAGGUGCUCCGUGCCUGGAUGGAUGAGUCAGAUGCUCAGCACUGCAGCCCCAACAGGGUGUGGAGAAAGCCCCAGCCAUCCUCACAAAGACAGAAACCAACCAGCUGCAGGAAAAAUCAAGAGUGUGACAGCAACGGAGCUGAAUCCUUUGCUGAGGGCUCUCCUGUUACAUCUGCAGCCAUUCCUGGAAGGUGGUGGGAAACCAGAGCCAACCCAUGCCCCACUUUUUGGUGUGCAUGCAGCACCCACCUGCUUUCUGCUGCCAUGGUAAGCUCUGUGCUGGAAUAUCAGCCCACACUUGGCUCCGCUGUUUUAGGCUGCAAUGGAUAAUUUCUAAUCCCUCUAUUCAGAGAGUUUGAAGGAACAGGAGGAGAAACAUAUGGCAUAUGCCACCUCAGCUCCCAGGAGGUGUGGGGUUGUUGUCCUGGCAGCUGUUGGGGUAAUCCUUGUCCUUCUGUCUGUGCCCAUGUCGGA
This 819-nucleotide long non-coding RNA is filed under the name Chrysolophus pictus (golden pheasant). RNAcentral's name for it is "lncRNA (ENSCPIG00010008250.1)". Lineage: Eukaryota; Metazoa; Chordata; Aves; Galliformes; Phasianidae. The record is from RNAcentral.